RNAcentral lists this ribosomal RNA (253 nucleotides) under uncultured bacterium. Its description in RNAcentral is "partial 16S ribosomal RNA". It matches the Rfam family "Bacterial small subunit ribosomal RNA", at positions 524 to 776 of the family's 1533-position model. The record is from RNAcentral.
UACGGAGGGUGCGAGCGUUGUCCGGAAUCACUGGGCGUAAAGGGUGCGUAGGCGGUCAUGUAAGUCAGUGCUGAAAUAUCCCGGCUUAACCGGGAGGGUGGCAUUGAUACUGUAUGACUUGAGUAAAGUUGAGGUUGGCGGAAUUGACGGUGUAGCGGUGAAAUGCUUAGAUAUCGUCAAGAACACCUAUUGCGAAGGCAGCUAACUAAGCUUUAACUGACGCUGAGGCACGAAAGUGUGGGGAUCAAACAGG